RNAcentral lists this ribosomal RNA (278 nucleotides) under Salmonella enterica subsp. enterica serovar Poona. RNAcentral describes it as "partial 23S ribosomal RNA". It matches the Rfam family "Bacterial large subunit ribosomal RNA", at positions 1243 to 1525 of the family's 2925-position model. The record is from RNAcentral. Lineage: Bacteria; Pseudomonadati; Pseudomonadota; Gammaproteobacteria; Enterobacterales; Enterobacteriaceae.
UAAGCCUGUGAAGGUGGCCUGUGAGGGUUGCUGGAGGUAUCAGAAGUGCGAAUGCUGACAUAAGUAACGAUAAAGCGGGUGAAAAGCCCGCUCGCCGGAAGACCAAGGGUUCCUGUCCAACGUUAAUCGGGGCAGGGUGAGUCGACCCCUAAGGCGAGGCCGAAAGGCGUAGUCGAUGGGAAACGGGUUAAUAUUCCCGUACUUGGUGUUACUGCGAAGGGGGGACGGAGAAGGCUAUGUUGGCCGGGCGACGGUUGUCCCGGUUUAAGCGUGUAGGU